AGCUAGGUGGCACAAUGGAUAGAGCACUAGACCUGGAAUCAGGAAGACAUGGGUUCAAAUCUCAUCUCAGAUA
RNAcentral lists this transfer RNA (73 nucleotides) under Monodelphis domestica (gray short-tailed opossum). It matches the Rfam family "tRNA". Rfam says of the family: Transfer RNA (tRNA) molecules are approximately 80 nucleotides in length. The record is from Rfam by way of RNAcentral. Lineage: Eukaryota; Metazoa; Chordata; Mammalia; Didelphimorphia; Didelphidae.